UCCAGGUCACAUCGCGUAGCUACGGGUUACCACCUUCCAUUAUGAAAAAUAUAGAAAUGGGGGAGAGAGCUGGAUGACCUCUACUUCAGACUCAAAUAUAGAUAGAUCAACAUGUUUCUAAGCGCUUUUUUGGUGCUUAUAGGGAUACUAAUUUUGAUUUUUUUUUUUCUAACCGAUAGCCGACCCUCAUUA
Molecule: long non-coding RNA, 192 nt
Organism: Sebastes umbrosus (honeycomb rockfish)
Lineage: Eukaryota; Metazoa; Chordata; Actinopteri; Perciformes; Sebastidae
Exons: 3
Source: RefSeq, a predicted model, not a curated record